Molecule: long non-coding RNA, 353 nt
Organism: Mesocricetus auratus (golden hamster)
Lineage: Eukaryota; Metazoa; Chordata; Mammalia; Rodentia; Cricetidae
Exons: 3
Source: RefSeq, a predicted model, not a curated record
GGUGGGGGAUCUUCCUGGCUCUGUUAGUCUUCUCCAGACACAUCCUCGUAGACACACCAAAAGUUGCACAUCAUCAUUUUCCUAAUGUGAUGUCAGCUUGACCCAGAUUAGUCACCAAAGAAAAGAAAGCCUCGAAGGAGAAAAAGCCUCCAUAAAACACGGCGCUAAGGUUCCUGGCCUGCUGAGUUCCUGUCUUGAUUUCCCUUGAUGAAGAACUAUGAUAUGGAAACACUAGCUGAAUAAACUCCCCCCUCCACUUGCUUUGGCUAUGGUGUUUCAUCAUAGCAAUAGUAACCCUAACAAAGGCACCUUGUCAAUUUUGUCUUUUUGAUGUCCCUUCCACAUGGCAUGCU